RNAcentral lists this ribosomal RNA (301 nucleotides) under uncultured bacterium. Its description in RNAcentral is "partial 16S ribosomal RNA". It matches the Rfam family "Bacterial small subunit ribosomal RNA", at positions 509 to 809 of the family's 1533-position model. The record is from RNAcentral.
CAGUCGCCGCGGUAAUACGUAGGGUGCAAGCGUUAAUCGGAAUUACUGGGCGUAAAGCGUGCGCAGGCGGUUUGUUAAGACAGAUGUGAAAUCCCCGGGCUCAACCUGGGAACUGCAUUUGUGACUGGCAAGCUAGAGUAUGGCAGAGGGGGGUGGAAUUCCGCGUGUAGCAGUGAAAUGCGUAGAUAUGCGGAGGAACACCGAUGGCGAAGGCAGCCCCCUGGGCCAAUACUGACGCUCAUGCACGAAAGCGUGGGGAGCAAACAGGAUUAGAUACCCCAGUAGUCCCUGUCUCUUAUAA